Molecule: RNA transcript, 3367 nt
Organism: Cryptomeria japonica (Japanese cedar)
Lineage: Eukaryota; Viridiplantae; Streptophyta; Pinopsida; Cupressales; Cupressaceae
Gene name: O-fucosyltransferase 13
Exons: 9
Source: RefSeq, a predicted model, not a curated record
AGAAGAGGAAAGCGCAAGCACGUAAUUUUCACUAGCACAUCAUAUAUAGAGAACUAGGGCAGUCACAGCCUAAUUUAAAGAAUCAUUCAAGCUGUCACAAUGAGAGUUUGGGAACGAGUGAUUUGCAAUCAAGUUUGCCCUUCCUCCCAAAAUCAACAUUGUAUAAGUUCCUAGCAAACCAAAAUAACAGAAGAUCGCGUCAAACUGAUCUUCAGUCAAUUCAGAACGACAUUUUGUUUUUAGCUUCUCAAUUCUGGCUGCACACAUUCACAACGAUCAUAUGAACUGGUAUUUCCCACCAAUCAUUGGGCAUUUUAUAGAAGAAAUUACAAUAAAACCACUGAUUCAUGUAUUCCACAUACUGCGAUUUAAGCAUUCUUGUGCAUAUGCUUUUAAUGAGGGUAUGGACAUCGAUCACUCACUUGAGAUCCAUGUGAAAAUUCUCAAGUGGGUGCUGGAAUUGUGAGGUUACCUGUGGGAAUUCACAAUUGGAUAGAAACAAUUCGAAUGCUUCUAGGAGAGUAGAAAAUGAUUAAGCUUUCUGUUCUAAUGCCGGCUUUCACAAAACCAGUAUCUAAUGGCUUAAUAGCAGCAGCAGCUAUUCUUUUAUGCUUGCUUAUAAUGCAUCUGAGUCCAUGGCCUACAACCAGCAAUCAAGCUUAUCUUGAAACUAUUCCUACCAGGAGCAUGACAUACAGAAAGCAUUUUAUUUCAAAACAUAUAUGGAAUGUGCAGAGUCGUGUAGAUUGGAAGCCUUGUGAAUGGUGGACUGCAAAGCCUUUGACAGGUUUUCCACAAAAAAGCACCGGAUACAUUAAAGUUGAUUGCUAUGGUGGUCUGAAUCAAAUGCGUAGAGAUUUAUGUGAUGGUGUAGACAUUGCCCGUCUGCUCAAUGCAACAUUAGUUCUGCCAGAUUUUGAAGCAGCUUCAUAUUGGAAUGAUACAAGUGGUUUUGCAGACAUUUUUGAUGUAGACUAUUUCAUUCAACGGACAAAAGACUUUGUCCAUGUUGUGAAAGAACUACCAAAAGAGUUGGCCUCAAAAAAACCAGUUAGAGUUGACUGUCGUAAGCAGAAGGGUCAUUUUGAUUACAUUGAAUCUGUACUUCCAUCUUUAACUAAGCAUCAAUAUAUUGUCAUUACCCCAGCAGCGAGUCAAACACCAGAUAGACACCCAGUUUUUGCCAAGGCAGCUCGUUGUCAUGUAUGCUUCAAAGCUUUACGACUUGUUCCUGCCAUUCAGAAAAUGGGAGCUGAACUCCUGCAAAAAAUACCUCAACCCAUUCUGUCUCUACAUAUGAGAUUUGAGCCUGACAUGAUAGCUUACAGUAGAUGCCAAUAUAAUGAUCUUUCCCAAAGCUCUCUGGAUGCAAUCAACUCAGCUAGAAAUGGCAGGACAAUCAUCUCGGGUGAUGCUGCAGUAACAUGGAGGAAGAGAGGAAAAUGUCCUCUUACUCCAAGAGAGACAGCCUUUAUUCUACAAGCACUUGGAAUUCCUACCAACACAACUGUUUAUUUGGCUGCUGGUGAAAGCCUAUUGGAAUCAAAGGAUUUUACUUCAAUUUACAGGAACAGUUACACCAAAUCUUCUCUUCUGGACAAAGCAAGUCUGAUGGCAAUGCGGGGCAAUAGCAGAGCUGCAUUAGACUACUAUGUAUCCAUCAACAGUGACGCAUAUAUUGGUACAUACUUUGGGAACAUGGAUAAGAUGGUAGCUGCAAUGAGAGCUUUGAAUGGACAAUCAAAGACUCUUUUUCUCAACAGGAGAGCGUUUGCAGAAGCUAUUUUGAAAGGCCUUGAAGGGGAGAAAUUAGCAGAAUAUUUAUGGGAAACUCAUAGUAAAGCUUUAGUUGAUGGGAGAGGCUCUGCUCUACCUGACUGCUUUUGCAUGUCAAAUCUAACAAAUUCUUCAUGACCGUAAGAAGGUUUCACAUUUUCUGUGCAUCUCACUAGCUGGAGAAUUUCUCUGCAGUUCAACCUCCAAAUAACCAUGGAUUCAGAAUUACAUCAUAUCGAUUUGGAAAAUCAAAAGAAACCUGGGAUGAUAAAUAAGUUGUUUGGAGCCAAAGCAACAAAUGCAAAGUUCUCUUUGAAGGUGCAAUCAUUUAGAUUCAAAAUGUCAGAUGAAAUUACUAUGUCUAACCACAAGCAAUCUAAGAUCUCUCAUUAAACGACUAGCAGAAGUUGACGUUGUGGAAGAUAAAGAGGAUGUUAAAGUUUCUUGUUAAAUAGUUUGCCUUGAAGAUACAGCAAUGUUAUUUUUUCUUUCAGUUAGAUGCUCUCACAAACUUUAGAAGGUGUGGUUUCAAUGCUCUUGGCUGAAAAAAAGAUAGCAAUUAUGAGAGAUAAAGCAAGAGUUUGCACUAUACUCAAAGAAAAGGUUGGGAAAGAGAAUGUCAGGUAAGAAUGAGAUUAAGUGUUACUACUGUAGGAAAAUAGGUCAUAGUGCAAUUAAUUAUAAAAUUUGUGCAAGUGACCUUCUCAAAGGGAAAGUUAAUGAAUCACUAAAUAUAGCUUUUGUUGAGGAACCACUAGAUGUUGAUAGUGAUGAUGACAUCAUUGAAGAUGAUGAACUUGUCCUAUUUUGAAGAGGUCAACACUUAGAAAAUAGAGAGGGAUGCGGUAGAGAAUAUUUGGAUGCUUAAUAGUUUGAGGUGCUUGUAGAUCGGAGAAACUAGACCUCAUCGAGGUUAUGAGACAUACAUGUGAGGAUUGGUGUCCAAUAGUUCAGGGGAGACCCAACAUUUGGAAGCUCAGCGUUAUAUCUUUACGAAGGUGAUGAGACACUUCAUGUGCAAAUAGUGUCCAAUGAUGUUGGGAACUUGGAUGAUAGCAAGGUGACUAUACCUGCAAUUGGGGGGCAGCUUGAAGGAUGUCUUGUUGGUCCUAGACCUAUUUUCAAAGGACAGCUUCUACAUAAUGUAUUGUUGGGAACUUGGAUGAUAGCAAGGUGACUAUACCUGCAAUUGGGGGGCAGCUUGAAGGAUGUCUUAUUGGUCCAAGAACUAUUUUCAAAGGAUAGCUUCUACAUAAUGUAUUGUUUUGUCUUAUGUUGAUUAGUCAGAUUGUACUAUUCAGAGAUAUGUUAAGAGUCCAUCAAAAUUAUGUUAUUUCUUAAGGGGGAGUGUUAGAAUAAGUAAUAACAAAAUUACAUUUCUGUUGUUAAGCGUUGAAUAGGUGUUGACAACAAUUGUUGAGAGUCCCAGUUCAUUGUCUCUAGAUCUAGUUUGUUGUCAAAAGUUUGAGUUUCUUGGCAACAGUUUUAGUUUGCUGUCAUUUCUAUCAGCAUAAUUAUAGGACCUUGUUGAAGUCAAUUGUAUCUAUAUAAUUGUAUUCUCCAUUGAUUAAUAAUAAACCAUGAUUGAGUU